Molecule: long non-coding RNA, 200 nt
Filed under: Oryza brachyantha (malo sina)
Lineage: Eukaryota; Viridiplantae; Streptophyta; Magnoliopsida; Poales; Poaceae
Description: long non-coding RNA (OBRA_LNC001600)
Source: RNAcentral
CUCUUUUCUCCAUUCGGUUUGUCUGUUUUUUUUCUUCUUUGCUUUGUGAUUCAUCUCCCACCAUCUCCUCUCAGUUUAGAUAUAUAGGAAGAGAGGUGUGAAUGCCGGUCAACCUCCAUAUAUACCAGCCCACACGCAGCAUUCAAAUGAGCCUGUUAGCUAGCAUCGUUCCAAUUGUCACACUAUACAAGAAAAGAAUG